Non-coding RNA from Podarcis lilfordi (Lilford's wall lizard), 70 nucleotides. The record is from the annotation of a GenBank genome assembly. Lineage: Eukaryota; Metazoa; Chordata; Lepidosauria; Squamata; Lacertidae.
GGAUAGCUCAGUUGGUUAGAGCGUGGUGCUGCUAGCACCAAGGUUGAAGGUUCAAUCCCCGCUUGGGGCU